Molecule: unclassified non-coding RNA, 697 nt
Filed under: Hevea brasiliensis (rubber tree)
Lineage: Eukaryota; Viridiplantae; Streptophyta; Magnoliopsida; Malpighiales; Euphorbiaceae
Source: RNAcentral
CUACACUAUCAUGAGUUUUAUUAGCAACAAAAUCCACUAUGCAUUUGAACAAAACAAACUCACAAUUCUCGGAAACUACUAACAACCCAUGACCCCAAAACUUGGUCAACCUUUGAAUCACAUCUCAACACUCCCCCUUGAUUCAAAAUUGAACACACCAAGUAAUGAUCUGAAGUAGAUAUACUUCUGACUUAGAAGUGUCUUUGUGAAUAUAUUUGCCACUUAUUCAUCUGUAUUGCAAAACUUCAAUAUAAUCUCCCCUUUUGCUACAAGCUUACAAAUAAAAUGAAAGUGAAUGUCUAAGUGCUUCGUUCUUCCAUGGAAUGCAGGAUUUUUAGUCAUUGCAAUUGUGGAUUUGUUGUCACAAAAAAUUUCAGUUGCAUUCUCUUGCUUUUGAUGAAGAUCAGCAAGCAUUCUUUGAAGCCAUAUGCAUUGACAAGCUGAGGAAGUAACUACUACAUACUCUGCCUCUGAAGACGACAAUGUCGGUGUAGCUUGUUUCUUUGAACUCCAAGUAAUUACACCUGAAUCAAGACUGAAAACAUGGCCUGAAGUGCUCUUCCUAUCAUCCAAAGAGCUUGCCCAAUCACUAUCAGUAUACCCAUACAAUUUGAAAUCAGAAACAUGAGUACCAGAUGCCAUAAUCUAGAGUUCCAGCAAUAUAACGCAAGAUCCUUUUUGCAGCUCCAAAAUGAUG